This 405-nucleotide ribosomal RNA is filed under the name uncultured bacterium. Its description in RNAcentral is "partial 16S ribosomal RNA". It matches the Rfam family "Bacterial small subunit ribosomal RNA", at positions 30 to 526 of the family's 1533-position model. The record is from RNAcentral.
AUUGAACGCUGGCGGCAGGCUUAACACAUGCAAGUCGAACGAGUGGCGGACGGGUGAGUAAUGCUUGGGAAUCUAGCUUAUGGAGGGGGCUAACUACGGGAAACUGUAGCUAAUACCGCGUACCAUAGGAUGAGCCCAAGUGGGAUUAGGUAGUUGGUGAGGUAACGGCUCACCUAGGCGACGAUGCCUAGCUGGUCUGAGAGGAGGACCAGCCACACUGGAACGGUGACAGGGUCCAGACUCCUACGGGAGGCAGCAGUGGGGAAUAUUGCACAAUGGGGGGAACCUGACGCAGCCAUGCCGCGUGAAGGAAGAAGGCCUUCGGGUUGUAAAGUUCUUUCGGUAGCGAGGCGUUAACUACAGAAGAAGCACCGGCUAACUCCGUGCCAGCAGCCGCGGUAAUUC